GCUCCAGCUCCUGGGGCUCCGCGCCCAGUCUGCGAGGCCCGCAAGGUUAGACGGAAGGUUAGAGUCAGCGGCCCGGCCUGCAGCGGCAGAAGAACCGCACCGCCUGGAACCUGGAAGGCGAAGGGCGGGAAAGAAGCUGCACGGGUGUUGGUGGGUAUCUUUCUCAGCAAUCAACGCUCAGUUUUGGAGUUCUGCGAGAAAACUGAUCGUCACCCAAACACAAACACAGGCCACCUUCCCGCCUCAUCGGCAAAUAAAACUUGCAGUUUAAAGGCUCCCUUACUUCCAACUCUGCCAGGUGGUGUACAGAAAGCAAGCAGAGCUUCCUCUUUUAAAAUAAAAUAACAUCUUAGGCUAUGCAGAGGUACUCCCACGCAAACAAACCCUGGGCAACUGCCGGCCCGAGCAAAUGAAACACCAGCCCCUAUUUCACGAGGUGCUAUCCUGUAACUUGGCUUUGAAUGAAAAGAAUUAUGAGUGCCUAAGAAGAGAUAAAGUUUGAACAUCUGUGGACGGGAUUUCCGGUGAAUUUCAGGAAUUCUGAUAACUUCGUCAGGGAUGAUUUUUGACUAAAAGACGUUUGUUUCAUGGUUUGAACAUACGUGGAGAUUCGGUGAGCGAAGGCAAACUGUAGCUGGAUUUCUCCCUACGUGUUUGUGUUGAGUGGGUGAGGCAUACUUUCCUAGGCGGAAUAAAAAAAAAAUGUCCAGGUCC
This 714-nucleotide long non-coding RNA is filed under the name Rattus norvegicus (Norway rat). RNAcentral's name for it is "long non-coding RNA NONRATT016425". Lineage: Eukaryota; Metazoa; Chordata; Mammalia; Rodentia; Muridae. The record is from RNAcentral.